Solea solea (common sole) is the source of this 369-nucleotide non-coding RNA. RefSeq annotates it as small Cajal body-specific RNA 2. Lineage: Eukaryota; Metazoa; Chordata; Actinopteri; Pleuronectiformes; Soleidae. The transcript has a single exon. The record is from RefSeq and is a predicted model, not a curated record.
CAUCUACAGAGUGAAAGGGAUGCGUGUUGUGGAAUGAAUGAGCGUGUGCGUGGAGACUGUUUGAUGGCGUGAGUGUGUGGUGUGUUUGUGAGUGAAUGUGCGUGAAUGUCUAUUUCUGUAAAAAAAAAAUCUACACAGUGAUCUUAUUUGAUUCGGUCAGGGUUUGGCUCUGCUCUGACCGGAGAUGAUAGGAAACGCGCUCUCGAGCCUCCGCGGCGAUGAGCAGCAGGCGACACUUGAACAGGGCCUUCCACUGCUUUGUGUUGUGGUAAGAGGUGAUGAUUCGAUCAGAUAUACUAGUUCUGGUGGGUUUGAGGUUCACCUCAAGCUUCACGGUGGACGAUGAGUAAAUAAGCGAUUCUGAUCUCA